ACUCCAGUGACGCAGUGGUUAGCGUGUCGUUCUUAUAUCGGUGAUCGUUUGAUACCAAUAUGAUCAGCAUAAGCAAUGCGAAAGUCGUGGGUUCGACACCCACCUGGAGUA
Non-coding RNA from Blumeria graminis, 111 nucleotides. Lineage: Eukaryota; Fungi; Ascomycota; Leotiomycetes; Helotiales; Erysiphaceae. The record is from Rfam.